Molecule: RNA transcript, 1983 nt
Organism: Carassius auratus (goldfish)
Lineage: Eukaryota; Metazoa; Chordata; Actinopteri; Cypriniformes; Cyprinidae
Gene: drc3
Gene name: dynein regulatory complex subunit 3
Exons: 13
Source: RefSeq, a predicted model, not a curated record
UGCUAAGCAACUGCGUUGGCGUCCAACAGACGUGCGCUUAUUCCAGGCAGGUCUGUUAUCAACAGAGAGUUUAUUACCAAAUAUGAGCUUUUAAUACCGAAACAAACAACUUUGAAAUGAUGACGGAUUCUGGUUUUGACUGAUUUUAUGAUGACAGGUAAAAAACGGCUCCAGUCACCAGAAGCAGUGCAAAAUGAACUGGCAACAGGAUGAACCUAAAGUAAUAGAUGAGGAGAUGCUAAAACAAGCAAUUGAGGAACAGGGACCUCAGGGACAAGCUGGAGAUAUAUCCAAGAAAGAGGGCGUCCAGUAUGAAGACGUGCUACAACUAAGACUCGACUACAGGAACAUCCUGAAGAUUUACCACCUGUGGCAUUUCACCUCUUUAACAAAACUUCAGCUGGAUAAUAAUGUUAUCGAGAGGAUUGAAGGAUUAAAAAAUCUGACUAAUUUGGUCUGGCUUGAUCUGUCAUUUAAUAACAUUCAAGUGAUUGAAGGACUGAACUCUCUUGUGAAACUUAAGGACUUGAGCUUAUUCAACAACCGCAUUUCUGUCAUCGAAAACCUGGAUUCUCUGCGAGACCUGCACGUCCUCUCUUUUGGAAACAAUGCAAUUGCUCAGCUUGAAAAUGUGUUAUACCUAAGAAAAUUUAAGAAUUUACGCACUCUCAAUCUUGCGGGAAACCCUAUCUGUGAGGAAGAGAGCUACAAGACAUUUGUGACAGCGUAUCUUCCAGACUUAGUUUAUCUGGACUACAGACUGCUGGAUGAACAAACACGUGAAACUGCCUAUACAAAGUAUAAGUAUGCAAUUGAGGGAAUGCAAGAAAAUGAGCUCCAGGAGCAGCAGGCAAUUGAGGCUCAGAAGAUCAGCAACGAGGAGCUUCAGCUGCACAAGGAUGCAUUCGUGGAGUUCUUGAAUGGACCUCAGCUCUAUGACAGCAUGUUUGAUGAAGAUCCUGAUGGGGAGAAACUGGCUCUUCUCCCUGGAAUGGAAGAAUUGCUUGAGUCUUUUAAGAGCAAGAUGGAGGCUCUCUGUGUGCAGAUAUUUGAUGCGGGUUUGACUCAGCAUGCUCAGAGAACGGCUGAGGUGGAAUCCUUUUUUUCCUGUUCCCAUGAGGCAGUGGCUGAUAAUCGGCAGAAAGCAGCACAAAUAGCAGCUGACUUUGAAAGCUCCCGGAGGCAGAAAAUAUUGGAAAUGCAACAGAUCACAGAUGUCGAGCUACUUGAAGACCACAUCAGUUUGUGCCAGGAGCAGGCCAGCCAGCUCUCUGAAACCCUCUUGAGUCUGGAACUGCAGCUGGUGGACCAAUUGGAGGACAUCUUCAAAGACUUUGAGAGGAGCAUCUCAGACAUGGUUGGAGGGUUUAUUGAAUAUGUGCAAGGGAUAUUUGCACAGUGCCGAGACCUGGAGAACCAGCACCAUGAACAACAGCUGGAGAUUGCCUUGGCAACACUGGAGAAGGUGGUCAAAAAUGAGCUAGAGGAGGAAAUCCCUGAUGAUAUGGCCAUGACACAUAUUUUAGGAUUGAUCCUGUUUUGUCCUCAUUUCUUAUGCUGCUAUGUAGCUGCUGGUAGAUAAAGACACAGUAACCAAUGCAGUCAGUGCUUCCCACGACAUCCACCUGCUGAAGAUUGAUAACAGGGAGGAUGAGCUACUGACACGGAUCAACAGCUGGAUGAGCGGACUGCUGAAAUCAAUACAUGAUGAAGAAGUGAAGAGGAAUCGCAAGCGCACCUCAGAGAUCCGAAACUACGUUAGUUACGUGAAGGAUGAGCUGGAGGACAUGCGAUUGUCUGAGCACCAUUAAAAUCUUUCUCAAAUCUGAUUCGUAAAAAAAAAAAAAAAAAAAUCCUGUAAAAUAAUUUAGCUAUUUUGUUGUUAGUAAACAAGUAUGCAUCUGUAUUAUUUUUGUUUAUUAAAUACAGAGAUGCAGCCCUUUUGACGUUUUUUGUUUUUUGUAUUUCAUGAAAUGCUGCCAU